CGGCGUCGAGCGGCGGACGGGUGAGUAAUGCCUAGGAAAUUGCCCUGAUGUGGGGGAUAACCAUUGGAAACGAUGGCUAAUACCGCAUGAUGCCUACGGGCCAAAGAGGGGGACCUUCGGGCCUCUCGCGUCAGGAUAUGCCUAGGUGGGAUUAGCUAGUUGGUGAGGUAAGGGCUCACCAAGGCGACGAUCCCUAGCUGGUCUGAGAGGAUGAUCAGCCACACUGGAACUGAGACACGGUCCAGACUCCUACGGGAGGCAGCAGUGGGGAAUAUUGCACAAUGGGCGCAAGCCUGAUGCAGCCAUGCCGCGUGUGUGAAGAAGGCCUUCGGGUUGUAAAGCACUUUCAG
RNAcentral lists this ribosomal RNA (350 nucleotides) under Vibrio parahaemolyticus. Its description in RNAcentral is "bacterial SSU rRNA". It matches the Rfam family "Bacterial small subunit ribosomal RNA", at positions 86 to 439 of the family's 1533-position model. The record is from RNAcentral. Lineage: Bacteria; Pseudomonadati; Pseudomonadota; Gammaproteobacteria; Vibrionales; Vibrionaceae.